CCGCCUAGCGCACCACCGAUACCGGCCUGCAUAUCGUCGCCCGCCAUCGCGCUAGUACCUACCAGGCUCAGGGACAACAGAAGGAUCGAGGAGUACUUCAUAAUCAAAACUCACUGUGAGGAUGAUGGCGCCGAUCCUCGUGAUUACCGCUUCGCUUGGCAAGUGGAAUCUGCUUAAGGGUGCGAUAACUUCCACAAAAGGCAAAUGUAUGAAUUUAUUACAGAAACUUUAUUACGGAACGGUAGUCUGCACCUUUUUAUCUUGAUCGAAAUGUAGCGGAAAAGGGCGGGUUUACGCUCUAAA
This 303-nucleotide small RNA is filed under the name Pseudomonas luteola. RNAcentral describes it as "Pseudomonas sRNA P34". The record is from RNAcentral. Lineage: Bacteria; Pseudomonadati; Pseudomonadota; Gammaproteobacteria; Pseudomonadales; Pseudomonadaceae.